This is a long non-coding RNA of Prunus persica (peach), 1377 nucleotides long. RefSeq lists it as uncharacterized. The transcript is spliced from 3 exons. The record is from RefSeq and is a predicted model, not a curated record. Lineage: Eukaryota; Viridiplantae; Streptophyta; Magnoliopsida; Rosales; Rosaceae.
AAAAUUGGUGACCAAGUGGCGUGGCUUCACUAAAAGACUUUCUUACUUGACAGCUUUUUCAUAUUCGUGAUGAACAGUCGAGUCGCAAUAAUUAACCCACUAUAGAAAGAAUGCAUCGACGUGUAGUCUACGGCUAGAGGAGCAUCCACGUGGCUGUUCUAAACAUCAAACGACAUGUAAUACUACGUCAUCGCGUUGAGUCACUUUGGUGUCAUCAUCCACUGGAUCCUGCGUGCCCCGUCUCAUGUGCAUAUUACGAUGAUUUUUUCAUUAAUGGGGUCAUUUAAGCAUGAGUUUACAUCUAACUCGUCUCUCUAACUUGUUGGAAGUCCAUGGAACAGGAGGAGAUCCCUUCGAUUUAGAUAACGAUUCAAAUUUUAUAUUUGAUAUAUUCUCAUGUGGGCGUGACAUGAUAGACUUAUUAUUCAAUUUGAUUAGCCUACAAUACAUACAGUAUCAUGUCAAAGAGAAUAUCAAGGAGCAAAGAUCAAAGAUCAAGGAGGAGAUCACAAAAGAGGAAAUCAUCAAAAGAAGACCAAACACAAAUUGAUUCAUAUAAUUGUUUUAAGGCUCAUUUACAGUGUUUUGGCAGCCGUCACGUACAGAUCAGUGAGCUUUUGGAAAAAUGGCAACAUGUCUCUUGUUUAUAUAUGCACACGAGGAAGGCAUGGCUCCUCUCUUGAAUUAGGGUGUGGUGUGGGGCCGGCCACUUGAAUUGGGAUCUGGAGUCAUUGUAGACGUAGAGUUUAGUAAGGUGACAACUGAUCUUGACUACGUGGAGAUAGAAUUCACUCAUGCUUAUCUACAUUAGUGCCAAAUUAAUAAUCUGCCUAUUAUUAUUUUGCUCAUAUAAUAUUUCAAACAAACGACAAACAUUAUCAUGAACGAUCUUGUUUUUAUUUGUGAUGAAGACUCGAGUCACGGCUCACAAUCCCAGGCCAAAUCUGCAUAGACAGGUUGAGGAAAGGAAAAGAGAGAGAAGUAAAGGUGUCCUUUUUAUUUGUAUUAUUAAUGCUUUGUGCCUAGUGGGUUGGUAGAAGGGUAAAACUGGCAAAUUAACGAGGGUGCUCAUCACGAUGAUUGGUUCGUCUCUAUUGGUUGGUGGAAGUCCAUGCCUUAAGGCCAUGGAACAUCCAACAUAAUUGAAUCCCAUGAUGAUGAUCGAUGGAUGCAUGCAUGGCUCAUGAUGGAGAUACAAAAUGUAAUGUCUCCAAAAUGUGUGAGUAGCAUGAACCACCGGAUAUACAUAGAGAGGAGAACUAAAGAUUGCAAUACAAGCAACUGGUUCUUGGAGAAAUUACUAACGUGAAAUAUGUUCGAGAUAUGAUUCGCGGUUGGAAGUUUUUAAAGAAAAAAAAAAUGUAUUUACAUAUACAA